AGCUCCAAUAGCGUAUAUUAAAGUUGUUGCGGUUGAAAGCUCGUAGUUGGAUUUCUGUCGAAAAGGUCGGUCUUCGCUUCGCGAACGCAUCUGGUUCGACUUCGGCAUCCUCGCGGGGAGGCGGCGCCGCGCUUGAGUGCGUGGUUCGCAGCUCGUGACUUUUACUUUGAGGAAAUUAGAGUGUUCGCGGCAGGCAAGCGCUUUGAAUAUGUUAGCAUGGAAUAAUAGUAUAAGGCCAUCGCUGUAUCUUGUUGGUUCUUAGGGCAUUGGUAAUGGUAAAAAGGGAUGAUUGGGGGCAUUUGUAUUAACGCGUCAGAGGUGGAAUUCUUGGAUUGCGUUACGACAAACUACUGCGAAAGCAUUUGCCAAGGAUGUUUUCA
This 380-nucleotide ribosomal RNA is filed under the name uncultured eukaryote. Its description in RNAcentral is "SSU rRNA". It matches the Rfam family "Eukaryotic small subunit ribosomal RNA", at positions 587 to 972 of the family's 1831-position model. The record is from RNAcentral.